RNAcentral lists this ribosomal RNA (514 nucleotides) under uncultured bacterium. RNAcentral describes it as "bacterial SSU rRNA". It matches the Rfam family "Bacterial small subunit ribosomal RNA", at positions 28 to 526 of the family's 1533-position model. The record is from RNAcentral.
GACGAACGCUGGCGGCGUGGAUUAGGCAUGCAAGUCGAACGGUAUCAUCCUUUCGGGGGUGAGAGAGUGGCGAACUGGUGAGUAACACGUAGGUUAUCUACCCUCAAGACGGGGACAACCCAGGGAAACUUGGGCUAAUACCGGAUGUGAGCAACUUUUAGUUGUUUGAAAGGUGGCGUAAGCUGUCGCUUGGGGAUGAGCCUGCGUCCUAUUAGUUAGUUGGUGAGGUAACGGCUCACCUAGGCAAUGAUAGGUAGGCGGCCUUAACGGGUGGUCGCCCACACUGGGAUUGAGAUACGGCCCAGACUCCUACGGGAGGCAGCAGUCGAGAAUAGUCUACAAUGGUCGGAAGACUGAUAGUGCGAACGCCGCGUGAACGAUGAAUCCCUUCGGGGUGUAAAAGUUCUUUUAUAUGUGAGCAGUGCUUCUAUAUUAACAGUAUGGGGAGAGAGAUAUUAGCAUAUGAAUAAGACAAACGGACUAACUCCGUGCCAGCAGCCGCGGUAAAAAUACC